GAUGAACGCUGGCGGCGUGCUUAACACAUGCAAGUCGAACGGAAAGGCCCAAGCUUGCUUGGGUACUCGAGUGGCGAACGGGUGAGUAACACGUGGGUGAUCUGCCCUGCACUUCGGGAUAAGCCUGGGAAACUGGGUCUAAUACUGGAUAGGACCACUUCUUGGAUGGUGUGGUGGAAAGUUUUUUCGGUGUGGGAUGAGCUCGCGGCCUAUCAGCUUGUUGGUGGGGUAAUGGCCUACCAAGGCGUCGACGGAUAGCCGGCCUGAGAGGGUGUACGGCCACAUUGGGACUGAGAUACGGCCCAGACUCCUACGGGAGGCAGCAGUGGGGAAUAUUGCACAAUGGGCGCAAGCCUGAUGCAGCGACGCCGCGUGGGGGAUGACGGCCUUCGGGUUGUAAACUCCUUUCGCUAGGGACGAAGCGUUUUUGUGACGGUACCUGGAGAAGAAGCACCGGCUAACUACGUG
Molecule: ribosomal RNA, 468 nt
Filed under: uncultured bacterium
Lineage: Bacteria
Description: partial 16S ribosomal RNA
Rfam family: Bacterial small subunit ribosomal RNA
Source: RNAcentral